UAAGAAGAAAUGACCAUUCUUAUUAUCAAUUUCAGGUUUCAGGGAAGAUUACAUUGAAUUGAAUUCCAGAAAUCAGCUACGUUCCUAUCAAUGUAAAACAUUGAAAUGCAAUAAUAUAAAUUAUAAAUAAAAUAUAUUGCUACGAAAGGAAAAAUCUAAUAUCAACACCGUUCACCCCUCUUUCUUUAUACAUCUAAACUAUCUAUAAAUUAAAAAAAAAAAAAGAAAAAAAAAUCAUGGCAUUGUAGUAUGUGGGCCCAGACAAGCUUUUUCUGUGACUCUGUAGGUGCGGGUGACGGUUUGGUGCUUUGGUUGCUUGACUCAAGUUGAAGUGGGAAUUUCUGAUUGGCUGAGAAUAUUGACAAGAACAGAAAAAGUGCUGAUUCGGUUAGAUCGCCUGGAGCUCAUGUUAAUAUUUAAUGAUUCCUGUAGCAAAAUUCUUAUCUGUAAGUUGUAGAACAAUUUAUUUGAUUAAUUACAGGCAAAGUGCGGUUAGGAGGUCUUAAACAGCGUGAUUGAUUGUGAUGGAGAUUGGAAUGGACCUUGGGGGGUGAACAAGAUCACUCGGGAUUCAAUUUUUUGUUAUAUUCGGAAAAUGAUUGCACGACUUUUGAAAGUGGUGGCGCAAGAGCCAUCGGGGUAGUUUUUGACAGCUUUACUUUGCAAUUCUUUAUCUAAAAAAAAAAAUAUUUGCAAUUGUGAUUAGCAAAUUGGUCCCUAAAACCUAAUAAAAUGUGGAAUGAUGUACGCGAA
Molecule: unclassified non-coding RNA, 753 nt
Filed under: Hevea brasiliensis (rubber tree)
Lineage: Eukaryota; Viridiplantae; Streptophyta; Magnoliopsida; Malpighiales; Euphorbiaceae
Source: RNAcentral